Molecule: ribosomal RNA, 254 nt
Filed under: uncultured bacterium
Lineage: Bacteria
Description: partial 16S ribosomal RNA
Rfam family: Bacterial small subunit ribosomal RNA
Source: RNAcentral
UACGGGGGGAGCAAGCGUUGUUCGGAUUUACUGGGCGUAAAGGGCGCGUAGGCGGUCAGCACAAGUCAGUUGUGAAAUCUCCGGGCUUAACUCGGAAAGGUCAACUGAUACUGUGCGACUAGAGUGCAGAAGGGGCAACUGGAAUUCUCGGUGUAGCGGUGAAAUGCGUAGAUAUCGAGAGGAACACCUGCGGCGAAGGCGGGUUGCUGGGUUGCAACUGACGCUGAGAUGCGAAAGUGUGGGGAGCAAACGGG